CACCUCGCGCCGCCAGGGAGAGCCUCGUUCGAUCCCUCACCAUCUUCCCCCGCGCCGCUCCGCAGCUCUCCGACGCUCCUCUGGCGGGUCGCAGCUGUCGUUCAUCUGCGAGGCAACCACCGCGCCCCUCUUCUUCAGCGUCGCGCUGGACCUCCUUCCCCGGGUGCAUCCGUCGGUCGCCGCCGCUCGAUCCGCACCUCUCCAACAAGCUACGGCCUCGUCGAGCCUCCAUCAAGCUCCGCUGUGAGCCGCCGUCCGUUUCCCCCUAUCCCCUUGCUUGAUUUGGCCGUCCCUGGCGCCGUUGCCGCAAGGCCGAGCUCCGGCCGCCGUCGGGCUUGCGCGUAGGCAUCGCUCCAGCCAUCCCCUGCCUCGGCCGCUUGCGGCAUUAGAUGUGCGGCUGCAAGCUGAACCCAUAGGCUCAAGCCACGCCUCAAGUGGCCGCUGGAGUCUCCCGUUUGAUCGUCGCCGCCGCCGCUGUGCACCGCCACCGGCCGUCGUUCGUACGGUCAACUCCGGCUGUUCUCCCGCUCCGCCUACUGCUGUCGCCCGUUGCUUUCACGCUCACCCUGCUGCUUCUUCUCCUAGCGCCUUGGCGUUGCUUGCGCUGCUGCUGCUCUACGUAUUGAUGCUGUUUUGCUCCUUGCUGCCGCUGCUUGCUGAUGCUUUGCUUCUGCUGCAUACUAGAUGCUGCCCGUGAUUGCAUGCUCUUGCCGCUGCUGGCCGUGGCCGCCAUGCACACCCGUGCGUGUGUGCCCAAGAACACCAAUGAUUGGAUUGGGCCAUGGCCGUUGGAGCUACCCCUGUUUAGACUAGAUGAUAAUUAGUGUUUAGAUUAGUAUACAUACAGAUGACAUGCGGGUCCCCUGGAGAUUAAAAUAAAUAACCAAAAUAAUUUUAGCUACUGCCUAUGACAGCAGGGUGCUGCUGACACUGUUCACUUUGACCGGUCAACUUUGACUGGGUUGUUGACUAGGUCAACUCUGCUGACUGGACCACUCCUGGACCCCAUUGGUCAUACACUCAGGCUAAUGUAGAGCUAGGUGACAAAUGUAUAUUCUGUUUUUUUAUUUUGAAUUAAAAGUAAUUUCAAAAAAUGUUUAGAAUUUAGAAAAAUCAUAUAAAAUAAACCAUAGCUCGGAUUAAAAUACUUUGUACAUGAAAGUUGCUCAGAACGACGAGACGAAUCUGAACGCGCGGUUCGUUUGUCCGCCACACGUUCCUAGCAUAGCAAACGUUGAACCUUUCCCCUUCGGUUCAUCUGUCCAACAAACGUCCGGAACCAGGAAAACUUUCCCGGAUGUUCCCCUUUGCCAGUAUCGCCUAGCAUUGCGUUAGAACACCUCUAGCACUGCUUAUUGUCUUGUUAUGCUUAUGUUUGCGUGUAUUUACUGUUUCUUCUCCCUCUUCUUCUCCGGUAGACCUCGAGACCGUUGUUGAUGCCCUUGUGAUCGAAUAUGUCUACGAUGACCCUCCUUCUUGUCUGAGCAACCAGGCAAGCCCCCCUUUGAUCAUCUCGAUAUCGCCCAUUCCAUUCUCUCAUGCUUGCAUUAGAUUUUUCUACUGUAAUUGACUGCUUCUAUUCUGAUGCAUAGCCUGCUUUUGUAACCUGCUAUUGUACCUUACAUGCUUAUCCUAAAAUUGCUUAGAAUAGGUUGGUUAGUGAUCCAUCAGUGACGCCCACCUUGUCAUUGUUGCCCCUGCUUCAUCAUCGACGACUCGAUCAACGUGACUGAUGACCAGAGCCCAACACCUUACAUCAUAUCACGCCCCUUUUUGUUGCUCGACUCUGCAGAGUUACUAUCGAGUGCCGAGGGUGGAACCUCAUACAUCACUCCUGAUGAGAUCUCUGUAGUGUAGCUAUUCGGUCAUGGUCAACGAGGGUGGUUCCUCCUUCACCAUUCCUUAUACGGCUUUGUUGUGGAACACCUCAAGUGUGAACCUCGGGUGGUUCCUCUUACGUUCAUCUUGAUGAUUACAUCGAGUGGAAUCCUCGGAGGGUGAUUCCUUGGGGUUUCUCCCUGAUGUUUGGACACACGGUUACCUUGACUUUACUUCAGACCUUGGUGAAAGUCGGGCAGGCCCGGAGAGCACCCGCAAUAUAAUGACGUUGCACGGCCGGGCAUUCUGGGUCCUUGUCGUAAGUCCACGAGACGGGGCGACGGGGUCACUUCGAUCGUGAGUCUCUGCUCGCCUCCGCAAACUAAUAAUACACUAUGGUUUGGGUAUUUGUUCUGAGUUGGCCUCUGGCCUUUACGCACUAACCACCAUGCGAGAAUAGUUAUGGGCCUCAACGUCGUAGUAUUAGCCGAAGCUUUGUCAGACGUCCAGUUCAGCAUCGUGGGCCUGUCGGGCCAGUGCCAUCCAGUAUGAGGUGGUGCUCGUCCCGGCUCGUCGCACAACGACCCGGAGUGCUACGGGCGAUGGGCCCAAGACCCCGGAGUGGUUAGGAUGUAGAACGACGGUGACCUCUCUGCUGAGCCUAGGUAGGGCUACAACAUGUUGAUAUUUCGAGGCCGGGCAUUGACCCAAAAAAAUGUGUCCGGCGAGAGUAAUCAAGCGUGUUGGAAAACAUGGUGCACCCCUGCAGGGAAGAUUAUCUAUUAAUAGCCGUGUCCGCGAUAACAGACGUUCAGACUUAUAUCCUGAUCUUACACAACUACAAAUGGAUACUUGAGAUAUGUGGCUCCGGAAUUGCUUUUUGGCAGGGAGUCGAGGAAGGAUCUCUGGGCAUUAAUGUUAUACAUGUUUGUUAAUUAAACUGCUAUUCUUUACUCUCCUACAUGCUGCAAGAUGUUUGGAGCUGCUUGAAGAUGCUAGUCUUCGAUAGGCUAGGCCUUCCCCCUCUAUUCUGGCAUUCGCAGUUCAGUCCACAGAUACAAACCUUUCAUUUGAUACGAAUGCAUACUUAGUAUAGGUCUGAUGCUUGCGAGUACUUUGGAUGAGUACUCACGGUUGCUUUGCUACCCCUUUUCCCCCAUUCCUUAUUCUUUCCGGUUGAUGCAACCAGAUGGUGGAUCCCUGGAGCCAGAUGCCACCGCUAACGGAUACUACUACAUGGAGGUCGUCCGCGACCAGGAGUAGUUAGGAGGUCCCAGGUAGGUGGCCUUGCCUCUUCGAUCGUGUUGUUUUUUGUGCUAGCCUUGUUAAGGCAUCCUUGUUUAACUUAUGUCUGUACUCAGAUAAUGUUGCUUCCGCUGACUCUUGUGUAUCGAGCUUGUAUUCGAUCCCUCGAGGCCCCUGGCUUGUAAUAUAAAGCUUGUAUUAUUUUAAUUUGUGUCUAG
This 3281-nucleotide long non-coding RNA is filed under the name Triticum aestivum (bread wheat). Its description in RNAcentral is "long non-coding RNA (TAES_LNC003238)". Lineage: Eukaryota; Viridiplantae; Streptophyta; Magnoliopsida; Poales; Poaceae. The record is from RNAcentral.